This 24-nucleotide small nuclear RNA is filed under the name Arabidopsis thaliana (thale cress). Its description in RNAcentral is "snRNA_08933". The record is from RNAcentral. Lineage: Eukaryota; Viridiplantae; Streptophyta; Magnoliopsida; Brassicales; Brassicaceae.
UUUACAGAAUGUGAAACUAACAUU